UACGGAGGAUGCGAGCGUUAUCCGGAUUUAUUGGGUUUAAAGGGUGCGUAGGCGGCUUAGUAAGUCAGCGGUGAAAUUUUGCAGCUUAACUGUAACAGUGCCGUUGAUACUGCCAGGCUAGGAUUUGGUUGCUGUGGGUGGAAUGUGUGGCGUAGCGGUGAAAUGCUUAGAUAUCACACAGAAUAUCGAUUGCGAAGGCAGCUCACAAAGCCAAGAUUGACGCUGAGGCACGAAAGUGUGGGGAUCAAACAGGAUUA
This 257-nucleotide ribosomal RNA is filed under the name uncultured prokaryote. RNAcentral describes it as "partial 16S ribosomal RNA". It matches the Rfam family "Bacterial small subunit ribosomal RNA", at positions 524 to 780 of the family's 1533-position model. The record is from RNAcentral.